Molecule: long non-coding RNA, 211 nt
Organism: Anolis carolinensis (green anole)
Lineage: Eukaryota; Metazoa; Chordata; Lepidosauria; Squamata; Anolidae
Exons: 3
Source: RefSeq, a predicted model, not a curated record
UGGGUGUGCCGCGGUGAUUUUCAUAAAAAGGGGCGUGUCUCUGAUAAUUGUCUGGGGUGAAGUGAUUUGCAUAAAAGUGGGUGUGCCACGGUGAUUUUCAUAAAAAGGGGCGUGUCUCUGAUAAUUAUCCAGGGUGAAGUGAUUUGCAUUAAAAGGGGCGUGUCUCUGAUAAUUCUCUGGGAUGAGGUGAUUUGCAUAAAAAGAGGCGUGU